UUGGGUUAAGUCCCGCAACGAGCGCAACCCCUGUGAACUGUUGCCACGGAACCGAGAGGUUCCAGCACUCUGUUCAGACUGCCCCGCUCUAACGGGGAGGAAGGUGGGGACGACGUCAAGUCAGUAUGGCCCUUACGGCCUGGGCUGCACACGUACUACAAUGCCCAGUACAGAACGAUCCUAGACCGCGAGGUGGAGGAAAUCACUAAAACUGGGCCCAGUUCAGAUUGAAGUCUGCAACUCGACUUCAUGAAGCCGGAAUCGCUAGUAAUGGCGCAUCAGCUACGGCGCCGUGAAUACGUUCCCGGGCCUUGUACACACCGCCCGUCACAUCAUGGGAGUCGCUUGUAGCCGAAGUCGGCGCGCUAACCGCAAGGAGGCAGCCGCCUACGCUAUGAGCGGUAACUGGGAUGAAGUCGUAACAAGGUAA
RNAcentral lists this ribosomal RNA (430 nucleotides) under uncultured Verrucomicrobiota bacterium. RNAcentral's name for it is "bacterial SSU rRNA". It matches the Rfam family "Bacterial small subunit ribosomal RNA", at positions 1075 to 1499 of the family's 1533-position model. Lineage: Bacteria; Pseudomonadati; Verrucomicrobiota. The record is from RNAcentral.